Etheostoma spectabile (orangethroat darter) is the source of this 153-nucleotide long non-coding RNA. RefSeq lists it as uncharacterized. The transcript has 3 exons. The record is from RefSeq and is a predicted model, not a curated record. Lineage: Eukaryota; Metazoa; Chordata; Actinopteri; Perciformes; Percidae.
UUUUCCUAUGUGAUAGUAUAAAAAACGAGAGAAAGCAAAAAAUAUAUAAAUUGAUUUUUGGAAUUCUAUGAAUUGAUUUUUAAUCUGUGGAGCUUGAAUCGCGAUACAAAUGUGAAUCAAUUUUUUGCACACCCCUAAUUACAAAAAUUCAAA